UUUUGAAUAUAUAUAUGUCUAUAUCUAUCUAUAUCUAUAUCUAUAUCUAUACUACCUUAAAAGUACCAACUCAAAUUAAACUUAAAGUGAAAUUACUAGUAUACCCCCAGCUCAUUAAAAUAAAAUGAACUUAUUUAAAUUUAAAAAAAAAAAACCAGCACAUUGAACCUGCCUUAUAUUACACAACCCUACAAAUGCGCUGCAAAUUUUCAAAAGACACUAAAAACACUUUUCCACUAGACGCCUCUACCUCAAUUCCUUAACAUGAUGGUUCUAUCACAACACUUUUCCUUCUUCUUUCUCAGGCGACAAGUGCUCACAACAGGUACCUGUCAUGGGUUAGCUAGUAGUCCUUUGGGAUUGUUAGCACAGUAAAGCAUCCGGGGUACCAGACACAGGGCGUUACAUUACAACUCAAAGAACCAACCUAUUACACAAAGUUUACAACUCUCUAAGAAAAGGACCAGGUUCUUUUUCAAGCUAGUGAACUGAUUUGAUGAUUGUUUUUUUUCUUAUUAGUGCCUGAGUGAAACUUUUUUUUUGUAGUCUGUUCUACUUAAGACAAUUUUUGAUCGAGUACUUUAGAUAAUGUAGUCUUCUUUCUUCAAUGGGACUCUCAGUUUGUUUCACUCCUUGUUACCAUCUAUCUCCUUGAUUGGGUAGGACUCAUUUAUUUUCUCAAUCUUCAAGUGUUGAAUUUAUCUUCUCCUCAACUCUUUUCUGUACGUGAUAAAUGUUGACAGUAUAACUGAAUUUUCUUGCUUA
Long non-coding RNA from Capsicum annuum, 765 nucleotides. RefSeq lists it as uncharacterized. The record is from RefSeq and is a predicted model, not a curated record. Lineage: Eukaryota; Viridiplantae; Streptophyta; Magnoliopsida; Solanales; Solanaceae. The transcript is spliced from 2 exons.